This 467-nucleotide ribosomal RNA is filed under the name uncultured bacterium. RNAcentral describes it as "partial 16S ribosomal RNA". It matches the Rfam family "Bacterial small subunit ribosomal RNA", at positions 28 to 507 of the family's 1533-position model. The record is from RNAcentral.
GAUGAACGCUGGCAGCAUGCUUAACACAUGCAAGUCAACCGGAAAGUGGGUUUUUAACUUAGGUUUGGGUGGCGGACGGGUGAGUAACGCGUAAAGAACUUGCCUCACAGCUAGGGACAACAUUUGGAAACGAAUGCUAAUACCUAAUAUUAUGAUAAUAGGGCAUCCUAGAAUUAUGAAAGCUAUAAGCGCUGUGAGAGAGCUUUGCGUCCCAUUAGCUAGUUGGAGAGGUAACGGCUCACCAAGGCGAUGAUGGGUAGCCGGCCUGAGAGGGUGAUCGGCCACAAGGGGCCUGAGACACGGCCCUUACUCCUACGGGAGGCAGCAGUGGGGAAUAUUGGACAAUGGACCAAGAGUCUGAUCCAGCAAUUCUGUGUGCACGAUGAAGUUUUUCGGAAUGUAAAGUGCUUUCAGUUGGGAAGAAAGAAAUGACGGUACCAACAGAAGAAGUGACGGCUAACUACGUG